RNAcentral lists this long non-coding RNA (674 nucleotides) under Ananas comosus (pineapple). RNAcentral's name for it is "long non-coding RNA (ACOM_LNC017457)". The record is from RNAcentral. Lineage: Eukaryota; Viridiplantae; Streptophyta; Magnoliopsida; Poales; Bromeliaceae.
CCCAACUUCCUAGGGGGUCAUCCAUCAUAGGACUACUCUCGUUCUAGCACGCUUAACUCUCUUAACCUCUUGGGCGUAGCCACCACCCAAAAUACUUAAGCCGGAUUAACAGUUUUAGCUCUAUUAUAUCUUAUACAUAAGACUACCUAGGGUUUCACAUCCCUCCCCCCUUAAGCCUUGAUGUACUCGUCAGGCUCAGACUCACAAGUACUAGGCAAUGUGCGACUUGUCUCGCUAGCCUAAACCGACUUUGUGGUAAGCUGCACUUCUUCCACAAUAGUCAACAGCAUGAGAGCCUCCCUCUCCCCGCUGUAUAAUGCUGACUUAGCCGAGACUUAUCUCACACUUCUGGUUGGUAAUUAGCUCUGAUACCAACUGUGAUGCCCCAACUUUUCAGGGGAUCACCCAUCAUUCGACUACUCCCAUUCUAGCAUGCUUAACUCUCUUAACAUCUUGGGCCUAGCCACUAUCCAAAAUGCUUAAGCCAAGUUAAGAGUUUUAGUCAUAUUAUAUCUUAUAUAUAGAACUAUCUGUGAUCUCGCAUGGGAGAACUCUCGCUCUUAUUUUCGCACCAAGCUAUUCCCCUGUCACAACUUCUGAAAAUCCUCCUCCAUUUUUUUUUCACACUAUCAAGGAAGUAUGCAUCAAACAACGUUCUCCAAAACUCCUCCCAC